This is a long non-coding RNA of Mauremys reevesii (Reeves's turtle), 1465 nucleotides long. RefSeq lists it as uncharacterized. Lineage: Eukaryota; Metazoa; Chordata; Testudines; Geoemydidae. The record is from RefSeq and is a predicted model, not a curated record. The transcript is spliced from 3 exons.
ACAAAAUAGAGAUACAGAAGGAAGAAGCUAAAGCAACGUAGACUGGAUAAGAGUUCAAGCCAAUAGUAUAAAGUGGUGUAUGUGCUUACCUGACCAUUUUCCUUCUCUGGGUAAUAAGCUCUAUAGCCCCAUUGCACUGGGUCUUCAGUCCACUUGCAGUUUGGAGCAGAACCAGACCGGUCAGUCACUUGCAGGAAGGGGCGAGGCCCAGACCCUGAAUUCCCAGCCAGUCAGAGAGAACUUCCACAGCAAAUGGCAUAUCCUGCAUGGCCCAUGGACCAUCAGGGAAUGAGCUUCCAAAAUGACUCCAGGCAGGCAAUUAUGGAAUGAAAUCCUCAGUGCUCCUGAACUGAACUAAAAGCUGCCCUGGGGCCCAGCCAAUCUGCCCAUUGUGGACUGCGUCUGGGAACCUUAUUACUCAGAGAAAGGAAAUGCUAAGAUUGGGCUGAGCAUCUAUCCACAUGUCUGUCCCGUACAUCUCUGUUCUCUUGGACCUGCUGGCUCUUGAGAGUGCAGCAAUAGAGCCCUGUCUUCCAUGUCGUCUUGUUGCUGCAGCCAUUUAAAAAUAGCCUGGCCAGUCCCCAGAAGGGAAGGGAAGAUCACAGGCUUUUUCCAGAGAAAUGCCACAUCCCAACGCAUCCGGCUGUGUUUGGUGACGGUUUUAUUUGUCAGGAAACCCUGCCUGUCUUCUGCCUCUUGUGUGAAAGUGAAAGAACCCAUCUGCUUUGGGCAGAGGAGAGACCGUUGCCAUCUUUCAGCCCCAGCCAUACUUGAGAUGGACGUCAUUAAACCCCCCCUCUGCCCAGGUUAGUGAGCCAAGCUUGGCGCUGGGCUCCUGGCCUUCUUUGGUUGAAAUGAUUGAAUGCAGCAUGGAGCUCCUAGAAAAUGCUUUGUUUAGAAAAACAAGCUCUCUGCGAGGCUGGGAACUCCUCCAGCAGCUUGGAAAUUCCCCCUUUCCGAGCUGACUAAGGAGAGGCACUGAGGUGAAAUGACAGGCCAGAAGCCCGCGCGCUGGAGGAGAGGAGCAGUCGCAACAUCCGGUUCCCCCUCCACCACCUCCCUGCUCAGAUCAUGCGCCAGGGCCAGAAAAGUUAUGCAAAGCCGGCCCUGGGUACCAGACUCGCCAUGGGCUAUGAUUUGGAAACAAAAGUGCUGCAGGGCUGUGAGACACCUGGCUGUCUGGGUCCUUCCUCGUGCUCCUGUUUAUCAGGGACAGCCUUUUUGUUCCAUGCCCAUACGGCCCCUAGCAUGGUGAGGCCCUGGUUCAUGCCUGGGGCUCUGAAAACCAAGAACGACUGUUCCUGUCUCCCACCGCAAACAACAGCAAAUCUGCAAACCUGUCCGAAUGCCCCAUCCCAGGGUACGUGCUCCAGCCUGUGCUCUCCAAGGAGCCUGGCUGUGCUCAGCACAAAUUGGGAAGGUGGUGGGGGAAAAAGAGGCUUAAUGACACCUGCAUGUGCUCUUG